Asparagus officinalis (garden asparagus) is the source of this 966-nucleotide long non-coding RNA. RefSeq lists it as uncharacterized. The transcript has 2 exons. Lineage: Eukaryota; Viridiplantae; Streptophyta; Magnoliopsida; Asparagales; Asparagaceae. The record is from RefSeq and is a predicted model, not a curated record.
AGACUGAUAGCUGCAGGCGGCAUUUGCUGCAUCUCUGUGUCGUUGUGCCUCUUGAAGCCAUUGAUUGAUCUUUGGCUCUAGUUUCCCCACUUCUCCAGACUACACCGACGCCCAAUCAACAACAACAGCUCACCUCGACAUCCUCGACACUCUGUUCCCCGAUUAAGCUGCUGUCUUAGCAGCCGCUCGAUCCCUGCCGACCGCUGAGCUCAUCGCCAUCUACGUCGACCUCAACUUCCAACUGAGAUUCGUCACCUAGGACAACCUCGACGCCUCCACACUGACGGCGACCUCACUAAUCUCGACAUCGCUGCUCGCUCGAAGAGAUUACUCUCCUAGCCCUCGUCCUCGUCCCCGUGCCCGUCCCCGUCCAGAUCCGACCAUCUGGCGGACCCGCUGCUCAAUGACACUGCCGCUCAACUACACCGCUGUUCGUCCUCAACCUUCACUCUGACCUGAUCCCCUGCCUUCGCCACGGUCCCUCUCCACACUUACCUAUGGGGUGCCCUCGAGGUGUUCGACAUAAUGCUCUUUAGACUUCUGCAUCUUGGAUCGGCCCCACUCCUCGUCCAUCACCAUAUCGUGGAUCCUCUCUGCGCUAUGCAUCAAGACGACCCUGGUCUUCGGCUCAUCCUGUCAAGCGACAACAAUCCAGGUCGCCUUUGGGUGCAAGGUGGUGUGCUUGCCACCAAGCAGUUGGGGCCACUCCGAGUACAGAUGUCGCGCACGAUGGACUGGCUCUCUCACUACCUCAGCUCACUUGGCCUCACGAUGGAUGAUCAGUGCCUGCUCAGACUUGCCCAUUGCUUUAGCUGCCCAUGAUUUGUGUCGGCGGCCUAAAUAAGCCCUAUCAAUUCUCCGUCACUAAUGUCCGCCAUGUCCCAAGCAUUACCUUGAACGUAUUCUUAAUUUCCCAGCUCGUUGCCCUAAAUUAGACCGUAAUAUUCACCGCAUCUUCUUGCGUCA